GUUUUUUGUUGCAUUAUUUGUGUUUGAUUCAUUGUUGUGUUGAUUGAGGAUAGUUGUUGGUUGGUUUGAUUGCAACUGUGUAUAUGCUUGUCCAGGCACCUAUAGAGUGAUGAAUCUGGAAUCUGGUCCCUGACACAAUAUUGCAUUAGGGUUUGAUUCUUGUGGUCAAGUUUUUUUGAUUUUUGACUUACCCAGUAUGUUGGGAGGGUUGAGAAGGUUGAUAGGCGGUGAAAGAAGAGUGGGUGCUGGUGGUGAUCGUACAAUUCACGAUUGAGAAUUUGAUUCAGUAUGACGCAAUUAGUCCGUCCAUUGCAGUGGCUGGCUUACAUCCUAUUAAUUAUGCGUGUCUAUCUUAUCACGAGUAAAAAGGUGGUGGAGCAAUACAAGUUGGGAUAAGAAGUUACCCUUUGCUCGUGCAGAUUGGUGGAGUGUUUUAUGUGGACAUAACUAGUUUCGAAGCAUGGACAUACUCAAGGUCCGGCUCUUGCUUCUAAGGCGUUUCGUCUUCAAUUUCGGUCAAUUACUCCUGGUGUUAUAAAUGGAACGCAUGUAUUUUUUAUUCCUAUGUGCAAAAAAGUGACUCAUCUUUAAAUUGUGUUAAUCUAGAUGUUAUAGGUGGCACAAUGGGCAGACCUGGUAACGGGUCAAAAUGGGUUCCGAGUGGCAAGAGGUGUACAAUAAAAGCCGGUUUUAGGGCCAAAACCAAAACCGGUUAUGCCAGUUUGGUUUCCCAUCCUGAAAACCGGUUAAAAAACCAAACCGAUUUUUUUAAAACCGGUUUUUUUUCCCGCACAACAAUAACAUGUUCGGUUAAAAACCGACCGGUUAGAAAAAAACCGAUUUGUAGACUUCUCUACGGGUGGCCUGCAAACACUUUUAUGUCUAUUUUCUUAAAAAGUGUAAUAACUAACUAAUGCGUUUUUAAAACUAGAAAACAAUUUGAUAAUAAUUAUUAUAAAUUGAAUAUAUAUAUUUCUUAUAUCAGUUAAAAAUUGUAUAAAUAAUGGGCUCGUUUAGGCUCCUGUGCAGGUUUAGGCUUCACAAGUCAAGCUUGAGCUCGUUUAAGCUCGGCUCGUUUCAAGCUCUUUUUCGAGUCGAUCUUGAGUAGCUCAGCUCAUUUACAUCUCUAUCGACCACCCAUUAUUCCUCACGAUCCUUAUAAUUUUCUGUUAACUUAAUAUAUUAGUGGACUGGGAAAAACAUCAUGUCCAUGACACUAAUAUGGUGAGGCGAUUCUAAUUGCUUUUGAAGAAUGCCAAGCUUCAUCAGCUCAUUAUAGAACAUAAAAACAAAUAUUUAUGUGUAUGAUCCUCAACAGGAGUGGCUUUAUUUUCACUUGAAAGCUUAUCCCUUUUUACUCUUAGCUUGCCUUUUCUUCUCGGUUUUCUUUUUGUUCACUUUUUCUAUUUUGCAGAUUGAGCCAAUCCCAAGCAGAAAUCUGCCUCCUAGGUUUGAACCAAAUACAUCUCGCAGUGUGAUUGGCUUACAUAUGAUUUUUUAGUUUGUAAUUCUCCUUUUCAUAUGCAUGUUCAAGCAUGACGAAUGCCUUAGUAUGUCCCUGGUAACCAAGUAAGUGUUUUUAUAAUUUGCUAUAUCUUACCAAUUUGUUUUUCUCGUCCCCCAAUACACACAGUAUUGUACUGAGGUUUAUAGUUGUGAUAUGCAAAAGUGUUAAAUGUAGGAUGGCUCUAUGUUUUAUGUCUACUGGAAAUUGUGUAUUAUUCUGUAGCUAAAUGUGUUUUCUUUUUAAUUUCUACUUUUGUUUUUGAGAAAAUGCUGGUACGUUGGGAACAUCCAUAUACAGAUGACGGGACAAUUUCUUCAGGGGGUUUUUGCAAGCUAAAGUUGUGAAAAGCAGUCGUUUGAAACUCAUUAAAUGAAUAAAGAGGAUCAUGAAAGAAAAAAAGUUGACCUUGAAGCUAUACGACAGGAUAUUGAUAUCCAGCGAUAAGACUUGGAAGAUUUGUGUGGAAUGUUAUGAAACAACUACAAGUUGAAGAUCAAGAUGCCUAGAAUGUUUUAGUUACUCUUUAUUAUUGUAAUUGACACUUUGGUAUUGACUUUUUUUUGUUAUUUGAGUUUGUAAAAGUAUGUUAAGGUACACUAUUUGACUAGCAAUGAUAUUUGUGUUAAUAUUGUU
RNAcentral lists this long non-coding RNA (2140 nucleotides) under Helianthus annuus (common sunflower). RNAcentral describes it as "hypothetical non coding rna". Lineage: Eukaryota; Viridiplantae; Streptophyta; Magnoliopsida; Asterales; Asteraceae. The record is from RNAcentral.